GACAGAGGGUGCAAACGUUGUUCGGAUUUACUGGGCGUAAAGCGCGUGUAGGCGGCUUGGCAAGUCGGAUGUGAAAGCCCACGGCUCAACCGUGGAAGCGCAUCCGAAACUGCUUCGCUCGAGUCUCGGAGAGGAAGGUGGAAUGCUUGGUGUAGAGGUGAAAUCCGUAGAUAUCAAGCAGAACACCUGCGGCGAAGGCGGCCUUCUGGACGAUGACUGACGCUGAGACGCGAAAGCGUGGGGAGCAAACAGG
This 253-nucleotide ribosomal RNA is filed under the name uncultured bacterium. Its description in RNAcentral is "partial 16S ribosomal RNA". It matches the Rfam family "Bacterial small subunit ribosomal RNA", at positions 524 to 776 of the family's 1533-position model. The record is from RNAcentral.